Molecule: long non-coding RNA, 393 nt
Filed under: Helianthus annuus (common sunflower)
Lineage: Eukaryota; Viridiplantae; Streptophyta; Magnoliopsida; Asterales; Asteraceae
Description: hypothetical non coding rna
Source: RNAcentral
AUGUCAAGAUAUUUGAUGAAUGUUUCUAAUAAUGCGUUAAUACUCAUGUAAAGAGUUCUAAACAAGUUGUAAACUGAAUUUCCUCGGCAAAGAGUCCGGAUCAUCAAGCGGACAAGCUGGAGGGAAUUCACGGGAGAAAGGCGUGCUCUAAAGGUUUUCUAGUAGAAGGGUGAUGAUCAAGCAUUUGUAUUUGAACCGAACACUCAAGCGAACGCUUCCGCACUUGAUCUUUUGUUUUAAAACUAUGUAACAGUUGUAGAUUCUAUCUUGAAUAUGGUUUCGUGGGAUAUUAUCGUGAAUGUUAUGUGUAAUUAUGGUUUUCAAAUCUUGUAAGUUUUUGUAAACUCCAAAUUUGCUAUGAAAGGCAAGGUUUUAUGUUAUUAAAUCUAGUGU